This 1371-nucleotide ribosomal RNA is filed under the name uncultured bacterium. Its description in RNAcentral is "bacterial SSU rRNA". It matches the Rfam family "Bacterial small subunit ribosomal RNA", at positions 29 to 1391 of the family's 1533-position model. The record is from RNAcentral.
UUGAACGCUGGCGGUAUGCUUAACACAUGCAAGUCGAACGGAAACGAUACUAGCUUGCUAGUAGGCGUCGAGUGGCGGACGGGUGAGUAACGCGUAGGAAUCUGCCUGAUAGUGGGGGAUAGCCCGAAGAAAUUCGGAUUAAUACCGCAUAAUCUAUUCGUAGUAAAGUGGGGGACUUUCGAGCCUCACGCUAUCAGAUGAGCCUGCGUAAGAUUAGCUAGUUGGUAGGGUAAAAGCCUACCAAGGCUACGAUCUUUAGCUGGUCUGAGAGGAUGAUCAGCCACAUCGGGACUGAGACACGGCCCGAACUCCUACGGGAGGCAGCAGUGGGGAAUAUUGGACAAUGGGGGCAACCCUGAUCCAGCAAUACCGCGUGUGUGAAGAAGGCCUGAGGGUUGUAAAGCACUUUCAAUUGUGAAGAAAAGUUAACGGUUAAUAACCGUUAGCCUUGACGUUAACUUUAGAAGAAGCACCGGCUAACUCCGUGCCAGCAGCCGCGGUAAUACGGAGGGUGCAAGCGUUAAUCGGAAUUACUGGGCGUAAAGCGUGCGUAGGCGGUUUAUUAAGUCAGAUGUGAAAGCCCCGGGCUUAACCUGGGAACUGCAUUUGAAACUGGUCAACUAGAGUAUGGUAGAGGAAAGUGGAAUUUCUGGUGUAGCGGUGAAAUGCGUAGAUAUCAGAAGGAACAUCAAUGGCGAAGGCAGCUUUCUGGACCAAUACUGACGCUGAGGUACGAAAGCGUGGGUAGCAAACAGGAUUAGAUACCCUGGUAGUCCACGCCGUAAACGAUGAUAACUAGCCGUUGGGGGGAUUUACCCUUUAGUGGCGAAGCUAACGCGUUAAGUUAUCCGCCUGGGGAGUACGGCCGCAAGGUUAAAACUCAAAGGAAUUGACGGGGACCCGCACAAGCGGUGGAGCAUGUGGUUUAAUUCGAUGCAACGCGAAGAACCUUACCUGGUCUUGACAUCCUGCGAACUUUCUAGAAAUAGAUUGGUGCCUUCGGGAACGCAGUGACAGGUGCUGCAUGGCUGUCGUCAGCUCGUGUCGUGAGAUGUUGGGUUAAGUCCCGUAACGAGCGCAACCCCUAUCCUUAUUUGCCAGCACGUCAUGGUGGGAACUAUAAGGAGACUGCCGGUGAUAAACCGGAGGAAGGCGGGGACGACGUCAAGUCAUCAUGGCCCUUACGACCAGGGCUACACACGUGCUACAAUGGGAAGGACAAAGAGCCGCGAAGCCGCGAGGUGUAGCUAAUCUCAGAAACCUUUUCGUAGUCCGGAUUGGAGUCUGCAACUCGACUCCAUGAAGUCGGAAUCGCUAGUAAUCGUAGAUCAGAAUGCUACGGUGAAUACGUUCCCGGGUCUUGUACACACC